This 450-nucleotide ribosomal RNA is filed under the name uncultured bacterium. RNAcentral describes it as "partial 16S ribosomal RNA". It matches the Rfam family "Bacterial small subunit ribosomal RNA", at positions 354 to 796 of the family's 1533-position model. The record is from RNAcentral.
GUGGGGAAUAUUGGACAAUGGGCGAAAGCCUGAUCCAGCCAUGCCGCGUGUGUGAAGAAGGUCUUCGGAUUGUAAAGCACUUUAAGUUGGGAGGAAGGGCAGUAAGUUAAUACCUUGCUGUUUUGACGUUACCGACAGAAUAAGCACCGGCUAACUUCGUGCCAGCAGCCGCGGUAAUACGAAGGGUGCAAGCGUUAAUAGGAAUUACUGGGCGUAAAGCGCGCGUAGGUGGUUUUGUAAGUUGGAGGUGAAAUCCCCGGGCUCAACGUGGGAACUGCCUCCAAAACUGCAUGACUAGAGUACGGUAGAGGUUAGUGGAAUUUCCUGUGUAGCGGUGAAAUGCGUAGAUAGAGGAAGGAACACCAGUGGCGAAGGCGACUACCUGGACUGAUACUGACACUGAGGUGCGAAAGCGUGGGGAGCAAACAGGAUUAGAUACCCUAGUAGUCC